AAUUUGGACAUGGGGGGAACCCUGAUCCAGCCAUGCCGCGUGUGUGAAGAAGGCCUUUUGGUUGUAAAGCACUUUAAGCGAGGAGGAGGCUACUAGUAUUAAUACUACUGGAUAGUGGACGUUACUCGCAGAAUAAGCACCGGCUAACUCUGUGCCAGCAGCCGCGGUAAUACAGAGGGUGCGAGCGUUAAUCGGAUUUACUGGGCGUAAAGCGUGCGUAGGCGGCUGAUUAAGUCGGAUGUGAAAUCCCUGAGCUUAACUUAGGAAUUGCAUUCGAUACUGGUCAGCUAGAGUAUGGGAGAGGAUGGUAGAAUUCCAGGUGUAGCGGUGAAAUGCGUAGAGAUCUGGAGGAAUACCGAUGGCGAAGGCAGCCAUCUGGCCUAAUACUGACGCUGAGGUACGAAAGCAUGGGGAGCAAACAGGAUUAGAUACCCUGGUAGUCCAUGCCGUAAACGAUGUCUACUAGCCGUUGGGGCCUUUGAGGCUUUAGUGGCGCAGCUAACGCGAUAAGUAGACCGCCUGGGGAGUACGGUCGCAAGACUAAAACUCAAAUGAAUGACGGGGGCCCGCACAAGCGUGGAGCAUGUGGUUUAAUUCGAUGCAACGCGAAGAACCUACCUGGUCUGACAUAGUAGAACUUCAGAGAUGAUGGUGCUCGGAACUACAUACAGGUGCUGCAUGCUGUCGUCAGCUCGUGUCGUGAGAUGUGGUAGUCCGCACGAGCGCACCUUUUCCUAUUGCAGCGGUAGCGGAC
This 754-nucleotide ribosomal RNA is filed under the name uncultured bacterium. RNAcentral describes it as "bacterial SSU rRNA". It matches the Rfam family "Bacterial small subunit ribosomal RNA", at positions 359 to 1128 of the family's 1533-position model. The record is from RNAcentral.